RNAcentral lists this long non-coding RNA (998 nucleotides) under Gopherus agassizii (Agassiz's desert tortoise). RNAcentral describes it as "lncRNA (ENSGAGG00000019516.1)". Lineage: Eukaryota; Metazoa; Chordata; Testudines; Testudinidae. The record is from RNAcentral.
CUGCAGUAGAGGAAUAUGAAUAAUCACAAGAGGCAGGUAGAAGAAAUGUACUCGACUGUGUGCAAAGCUGGCAAGAAGAAGAAACACCAAGGCUCUGCUCUGUCCCCUUCUGAAGGAAUGGACACUAGGGAGACAGGCCAAGGAGAACAGGGGUGGCCAGCUGCCCAUCUCAGAGAUGUCAGGGCGGGGUAUCAGUCCACACCGGGUCGAGUCUUACUCACUGAGCCCUGCUAUGAGUCGAUCAGUGAUGGAUCCUGGACUGAGCAUGGCAGGAACCCAGUCCCAGAACCGGCCUACGAGGCAGUAGAUGUCAACUGGAAAAAGCCCAAGAGAAGGGAUAAGUCUACCAAGAACUGCCCUGCCGAGAACUUGUAUGAAAGCAUCAGUGAAAUGUGGGAAGGGGACUCUAGGAACACAGCUACCCUGGCGGCUCCCAAUGGGUUGGAGAUAUACGUAACAGACUGAUAACCCCUUAUGUCUAGCUGCCCCCUUCCUGGGAAGGUCUGUGCUCCUCCACUGAGACCUCCAGCUGUCUCAGGUCUCAGCCACAUGGCGAGGCACAACAAGAACAUCCAACACCACAACAGUAAAUACUAAAAACAUCAACCCGCUCUAAACCCUCCUGCCUCAGGUCUCAGGCCAGCCUGUCACUAACAGGAGUUAAACUUUCCCUGCGGGCUGGGUAUCCCAAUGCUCCUUCUGCAGAACGCCUCACACCUUCCUCUGAAGCAGCUGGUGCUGGGUGUUGUCCGAGGCAGUUCACUGGACUCGGUGGACCUAUGGUGGCCUGAACUACAGGCAAAAGAAUUGAGUAAUUCUAAUGGGUUUGGCAUUGGUUGAGGGUUGUGCCCAUUCUAGGGGGCACAGACACCCAGAUCAGGUGCCUCUCUUCCCUGAGUCUUUAUGCAGGGUCCAGUAAAGCUGGGCACAGAAACCUAGGUAAGGAAAGGGGCAGCUGAGUUAAUAAAGAGGAAUCUCCCGUAUGUAUUUUAAUCCUG